This is a long non-coding RNA of Macrobrachium nipponense, 621 nucleotides long. RefSeq lists it as uncharacterized. The transcript has 2 exons. The record is from RefSeq and is a predicted model, not a curated record. Lineage: Eukaryota; Metazoa; Arthropoda; Malacostraca; Decapoda; Palaemonidae.
CAGUCAGGUUCUGGAGGGCAGAACAACCAGUCAGUCAGAGGCAGUCAGGUAUGAUUACCUGUGGACCAGCAUGAGGCAGCGUCAGGUACUGGAUACCUGGUUAUUUAAUUGAAGUCUUCGCAUGGAGUAUGUCUUCGAGUUGGAGGUCGGCAGCCUUUGACCAGCAUUAUUGUGUUUUCGUCGUCAAGAGGACGACGUGUCAAGUGCGACCUCACUGGGCAGCAGCAGUGACGUGUUUUCGUCCAGUGGUCGAGGAGGACUUCCAUACUGCAUCUGAGGACGAGAUGGUUGUUGUGUCAACUCUGUCUUGAUCGUCCAGCAUUCGAGGAGGAUGUCCAUAUUGUCUCCAAGGACGAGGUGGUUGUCGUAUCGGCUCUAUCUUGAUCGUCCGGCAUUGGACUGUUGUCCUCAUCGUUUAAAGAAGUGUUCCCGUUUUGCUCUGACUAUCAUUAUGCCGCUUCAGUGUUAAUUUUAAUUAAUUAUUAUGCUGCCUAUUUCUAUUAAUUAUAUUUACAUAUUAUUAUUGUUAGUUUAUAAGUUUUGUGUGUUUCUGCCACCCAGAUCCUUGACUCACUGUACAUUAUGUAUUUAAAUCUUGUAAAUAAAUUAAUUUUAAGGUAA